Molecule: transfer RNA, 77 nt
Filed under: Desulfovibrio sp.
Lineage: Bacteria; Pseudomonadati; Thermodesulfobacteriota; Desulfovibrionia; Desulfovibrionales; Desulfovibrionaceae
Also listed under: 1 other name
Description: tRNA-Arg
Rfam family: tRNA
About the family: Transfer RNA (tRNA) molecules are approximately 80 nucleotides in length. Their secondary structure includes four short double-helical elements and three loops (D, anti-codon, and T loops).
Source: RNAcentral
GCGCCCGUAGCUCAGCUGGAUAGAGCGACAGCCUCCGGAGCUGUAGGCCGUGGGUUCGAAUCCCGCCGGGCGCACCA